AUUUUAAUUUAAGUUCAAAUUAAAACUUAAGAAUUAUAUAUUUAAUUUUAAAAUUUUAACUCAUAAUUUUAAUCCAAAAAGUUGAAAAAAUAAUUAAUCCGAAUAAAUAUCCAUUUCCGGUCCGGAUUCUUUUUUUUUUCUUCCCCAUCCGGCAUCCUAGGCCGGAUUUGAAAAAUGAGGGUGAUUGGGGGACUCUUAUUCCACUCGGGAGUGAGGAAUCGGAAAUGGGACUCCCACGUACCAAACACCCACAAACGGAUUCCAAAAAAAAACCCAUUCGAUUACCGAGUCCAGGGUUGAAAAAGAAGCGAACCAAACACACCCUAUAGUGUAUUUGCUACUAUUGGAUGGGAUAUAAUAUAUAGUAUAUUAUAUAUAUAAUAUAUAUAAUAUAUAAUAUUAUAUAUAGUGUAUCAUAUAUACUAUAUUAUGGGAUUUUGUUUGGACUUACAUGUAUAAAAAAUUUUUUGUUGCUCUGGUGAGCAAUUUUGAAUUCUUGUGUUAUUCAAUAUAUCUUUUCAUUAAAUAUUAAAUUUAUUAUUAUUUUUUUGGUGAGAAAUAUAAUAUUGUGAUUUGGUUAAUAUUUAAAGAUAAUAUAUUUAUCAAUAAAUUAUAAGUUUUUGGCUUAUAAAUGCAUAUCCAAAUCUUAAUUAUUAAUCAUAACUUUUGUUUACUAUAUUUCUUAGGUCGAGGUAUGUUGAAACGGCCCCUAUCUGUUCUCUCGACAUAAUAAUAUUUUAGUAAGCCAAUUUUAAACCGCCUCUAUAGAUUAAAUUUUAUUAAGAACAUUUUAAUUAUAUUUAUAUUAUUAAUAGAUAGAAUAAAAAAUACUAAACAAAUAAUUAAGCAGAAAUGAUUGACGCGGGUUGAAACCCACAUCUAAGCUUUUCCUGGACGUCGCUCAAACUCCUCUACAUUAUAAAGGGCGCUGGCGGUUCGUUACACCGGCGGUCUCAGAGGGCGGUUGUGAAAACCGUCUCUACGAAAUGUAGAAGCCGGUUUAAACCACCUUUACAACAACUAAAAAUUGCUUAUACGACAGUCUUUUUCUUGUAGUCUCGUCCCUUUAACACUCCAACCUGUCCUUCUUCCCCGCCAUAACCCACCGCCAUAACCACGCAAUAAGCAUGAUCCACAAACAAUGUACUCCAAAGUGAUAAGUUGGCUUUGCAACAACAGCAUCUCUCCAUAGUUCUUUAGAAAAAAAUUAAUUUGAUAAAUAGUUUUAACUUUAAAAUUAUUUAAUAAUUAAAAUUGAAACAAUACUUUUUGCAUCCCUUCAAUUUUAUUAAGUAUUUCCUCUUAUGGCAGAUGAUAUCUCAAUUCUUAUUUGAUCAAAAUUCUAAGUACCUUGUGAAAACACGGUGGAUUGUGAUAUAUCUUGAAAAAUAGCGGGGGAAAGAAAAUUUUGUGCACUCUGAGAAAGGAUUUGAGGAUAUUCUACGGAAAACAUGUAUCAUCAUCAUUUUUCUCAUUUAAAUAUGUAUAUAAAUUUAUUUCUCCAAAUACAAGAUACGAUAGAUACGAUUAUCAAUUUUUGAAUCAAGAUAAUCCACGUUGCCGUUGAGAGAGUUAGGAAAGAAGAAAAUCCAGAAACAGUUAUUCGAUUCUUCUUAUUAAUCUUUCGCACAAAUUCCUCAAACAGCCAACAAACUCAUCCAUGUGCCGGCUACUGGAGCCGUCGUCCGCGAAGAUCUCCAUCAUUUCCUUACUCGCCCCGAACGCCUUCUUUCCCCCAGCAUCACCAUCCUCACCGCCUCCGCACCCCCUCGCGCGUGAACGACCCGUCCUGCUCGUCCGCGGCACCUCCACCCCGACCUUCUUCCCCGCCAUCACCCGCGCGAUCAGCCUUGGUCGGCUAUCAACGGCAGCAUGAUCAGCGGAUGCCCGACCCGGAGCCCCUCGAUGAUACCGAGCUCGCCCCGCAGUGCGUAAAGAAGGCGCCGACCGAUCGAUGUGCCAACACAUUUGAGCUGAGGCACCAGCCGCCCCGGACCGCUCCUCUGCCCCUCACUCGGUCCUCGAAGCCCGCGGUAGUCGCCCGGGCUGCCUGUAAGCCCAUAGGAAGGGCACAUUCGAAAGUCAAGCCGCAGGCUAUUCCUCCACGAGCUCGCUCGCUACCGUCGCCUCGCUCCCGAAAGCUACAUAGGACGACCGUCCCGGGAGACUGAGCGUCGAGCCACUCAAUAACCGCUCUUGCAUCGCCUACAGGCUGGGGAGCCUGAGCUAGGAGCCCGACGAGAAUGACCGGCUUCUUGUAGAUACUCUCGGCGAGAAGCCGCAGCGAGUCGGAUUCUAAUUCGUUGACCGUCCUCACGCGACGAACCUGCAUCCCGCCGACACUGCGCCGAGGCGGUGGGCGGUGGAGACGCCGGACGCGUUUCUUGCAGUGGGCCCUUCACCACCCAUCGGGCCUCGUGGAGGCGAUAGGACGAUCGAGGAGGAGGGGAUCCACUCCGGCGGCCUAGUGUACUCCUCGAUGCUUCUUCGCGGGCCCCCGUCGAGUAAAACCGGACGGCGGCCGAAGAAGGCGAGGGACGAACAGCAGGAAAGGAUGGAGAAGUGGGGCAGGGGAUGCCGAACUCGGCAGCGACCGGAGGCAGCCAGUACUGGCGUAGUCGACGAUGAUCCAAUCCGGCACUUCUUGGAGAAAGUUCUUUCAGGAAAUCGGCGAAAAGGGGUUUUGAGGCCGUCGAGGGCCUUCUUGAGGUACUGUAUCUGAUCCGGCGAGAUGUCGUGGUCGACUCGCGUCGGGGCAAGCCGUCGACGUGGGGGGAGGGGGAAGGAGAUGAAGUCGACGAGAGGGGAUAAGCCGGGGGAUUUGGGGAGCCUCGAGUUGCGCGGGGUGGAGAUGAAGGAGACGCGGUGGCCCCUCUCCGGCAAGGAUUUGGAGAGCUCGAGGAAGGGCAGCAUGUGGCCGAAGGCCGGCCAUGGGAACGCCCACAACGUGGAGAGGGCCGUCUUCCAUGAUUGCACUCGUAAAUCUUAAUUUGCAGUGAUUGCGGAAACAGUUGACAGCACUAGGUGAUGAGUGAUAGAUGAGCUGAAUGAUGCAGCAGCCUCACUGCUUUAGAUUAACACAAAGAGUGCUCCUCAGACUAGCACAAUUUAUUACGUCAAGUACAAAUUUAGCUUCCCUACUUUAAAAAUAUUAAUUAUUAACAUUUAAUAUUUAACUUUAAAUGAUGAUUUUUAACUGAAGUUUAUGGGAUUAUUAUGUACUGAUUUACUCAGGGUUAGUGGGUGGCUGAUGAAAUAACAGUCUACGUGAUGAAAUUGCUCAAGAAAAUAGAUUUAACUGUGAAAAACUAAAUUGUAAACAUUAAAAGCUUGGUAUUUUAAAAGUACCGUAGUUGGAAUCUACCUCUAAAUAUAUUAAAUGCGUUAAGUAUAUAUUUAUUAAAUUUUGGAGGUAAAAAUGUAACAAAAAUCGGUUUGAUCUACUAAUCUAGUUUCUAAAGAUUUUAAUUUUUUUAUUUAACUUUUAAACAUUCAAAAAUUAACUGUACUAUUUAGCUUACUGAAUAUGUAUUAAAUUAUUAAAAUCAAAAUUUAAAAGUUAAAUAGUCCAAUCAAAGUAGACUACUGAUUAAAUAAACUUUAUGCAUUUCGUACUUUGAUUAAAAUUGUAUAGACACCUCCUGAUUUUCACCGGAUUUGAAAUGACCUGAAUAUUUUUUCAUUUGAUUUGCACUCCUCUCCUUAUUAAAAAUUUAAACAAGUCACUCUCUUAGCAACUUUAGCCUUUGUUGUUUUAUUUGAAUUUUUUAAAUGUAAUAUUUUAAAGAAUGAAAGCUCAUUACUUUGUAAGAUGCAAUUUUUGCUUAAAUUUAAAAUAUUUUAGUUAUUGUCAACUUUCUAAUUAUAAGUGUACUAUUUUUGGAACUUUAUAUUUAUUAAUUAUAAUUAAAAUAUAUUUUCAGGAAGAUACGGCAUUAAUAGAGAGGACAAAAGACCAAAUAUCUUAGUCUAUAAGAAAAAAAUAAUUUUUUAAUAUCUUUUUUGUCAUUUUGGAGGAUAUUUUUUGGUUUAAAAUCGUAAGAAAUGGAUGGAAUAGUUAUUGAAUCCAGACGGAGGGGAUUCCGUGAUUGAAUCCUGACAGAGGGACUGUUAAAUGUAAUAACUUAAAACAUUGGGAUGAUAAAAUGUAAGUUUUUAAAAGUUUGAAAAAAAAAUAAAAAAACGGUAUUUAUAAAAAAUAAAAAAAAAAUUAUAUUAUCCUUUAAAAUAUGCUAAAUUCAAAAGGUGCCUACAUAUUUUAAGUAGGGCUGGCAAAUUAGCGACCGGCAUCGCACCGACUCGAAUUAAAUAAGUCGAGUUGAAACAAAAGAAAAAGCUCGAAUUCAUUUCAAGUCGAACUUGAGUAUAUUCGACUAGCUCGAAUUAGGCUCGAAAAGCUUUUAUAUAUAUAUAUAUAUAUAUAGAGGAGAGUAGAGAGAGAGAGAAGAGAGGAGAGAGAGAGAGUAUGGCUACUAUACUAUUAUGAGUAGUGGGCCUUAGUACUCAUAAGUUGUUUUCGAUGAUGUAGCUUCCGAAUCGACGAUCCCCUCCGUUAAAUAUGAUCUAGAGUAUUUAAACACUUCUAGAAAAUAAAUUUCUAAUUUUUCAAAAUCAUAAUAAAGUCCAUCAAGCGGGCAUAAAAGGAGAUGGUCAAAAUCGAACGACUUCCUAAAAAUGGAAUGAUCGGAUCCUUUAAUUUAAGAUCGGAGUUAUUGAUCUUAUCUAGGUAGUUAAUAGAAUUUUCUAUCAAAAAUUCAACCUAUUCCGAUUCUUUUCAAACGUUAAACUAGCAAGUAUUCCAUACCGGCCGUUAAAAUGUCAAUUUUGUGCUUUUGAUCGUAAGGUAAAUGAUUUCGAAAAAUUAUGAAAUUUAAUUUCUUGUAGUUUUAAAUGUCUAGAUAACGUUUAAUGGUGUGGAUCGUCAUUUCGGAAGCUCUAUCAUCGAAAACAACUUAUGAGUACGAGGCAAUCGUACUCAUAAGAGUAUUUAGCCGGACUAUUAUAUAUAUAUAUAUAAUAUAAUUAUAAUAUAGUAUAUAUAUAUAUAGGCUGGGGCUACUAUACUCAUAUGAGUAUAGAGCUCUUUGUACUCAUAAGUUUUCGACCGUUCAGAUGAAAAAAUAUGCGGUUAGGAUGAAAGUGGUUACGGUUAGGUUGAUAGUGGGCCCCCUAGGGUUGAGUGGGUGGUUGGUUGAAUAGUAUAAUCUAACGGGUGAAAAUGAUUAAAGGGUAUAUCUAACGGCUAAAAACUUAUGAGUACAAUAAGCUCUAUACUCAUAAAAGUAUAGUAGCCGGACUCUAUAUAUAUAUAUAUAUAUAUAAAACUUAGGCCGGAAUAUUAUCAAUAGCACCAUACAUUUUGUGCUAUUAAGUUUUCGGUCCUUUGAUUAAAAAAUAUAUGGUUAGGAUGAUGUGGAUCCCCUAGGGUUAAGUUGUUAGUUUAAUAGUAUAAUCUAAUGGGUGAAAAUAGUCAAAGGGUUAAAUCUAACGGCGGAAAACUUGAUAGCACCAAAUGCAUGGUGCUAUUGAUAGUAUCCCAGACGGACUAUAUAUAUAUAUAUAUAUAUAUAUAUAUAUAUAUAUAUAUAUAGCGAGAGAGAGAGAGUCUGGCCACUAUACUCUUAUAAGUAUAUGCCUAUUUAUACUCAUAAGUUUUAAGCCGUUAGAUCUACUUAGGGGUGUAAAACGGGCCGGGCGGCCCGUGGCCCGCCCGGCCCGGCAGGACAGCGGGCCGUGCCAUGGCCCGGCACGGCUACUGUAGCAUCCGUGCCGGGCCGGCCCGACCUGACUCCACGGGUCGUGCUGGGCCGAUCCUCUGCGGCCCGUAGGCCCGGCACGGCACGGCCCGUCUCGGGUCUGGGCCGUGCCGGGCCGAAGGAUCGGCCCGCAGCCCGGCACGGCCCGAAUAAUUGUUGGGUAUUAGCUAGGCCUAGCAUGCUAGCUAGGCCUAGCUAACACCCAUGGUCCGAUUCCCACUGUCCAAGGGUCUGCAGAUCAUACCCUUGGACAGUGGGCCCAACGGCUAUUAUGCCGUUGGGUACUUUUUCCCUUUUUCAAAUUUUUUUUAUUAUUUUUUAAAAAAAAGGUUAAAAAAAUUAAAAAAAUAUAUUUUUUUGAUCAAAAUUAUCAUAAUGCCCUCGCUAACAUUCAAAAAUUUAAAUAUUAGAGAGGGCAUUUUGGUCAAAAGGUAAAAAAUAUUUAUAUAUAUUUUUGAUUUUUUGGAUUUUUAUAUUUUUCUCCAAUGUAAUUAUAUAAUAUGAUUAAUUCAAAUGCCAAUUUUAUUAUUUGUGUUUUAAUUUUUUAAUUUUAUAAAAUUUUUAAAUGAGUUUUAGAAGGUUGGGUAUAAUUGUGUAAAUUAAACUUUAAUAAGCCAAAAAGUUAUAAUUUAAAAUCUUUUUUCUAAAAAAAUAAUUUUUUAAAAAAUACAACCUUUAUGUAAUAUGAAUUCUAAUACAAACUUUAUAUAUUUGUUGUUAAUUUUUUUUUUUUAAAUAUCAAUUCUCUAAAUAAUAAAAAAAGUAUUAAAAAUAUUUUUUUUUCUGAAAAAAAAAACUGAAAAAAAAAACUUGGGAGGGAGAAAAAAAAAAGCCCUGGCGCCCCUGGCAGGCUGGCACGAAGCCCGGCCGCCCGGCACCGGCCCGUGCUGGGCGGGGCCAUGGCCGGGCCGAGCCUACAAUGUUUGCAUGAAACCGCGGCCGGUACGGCACGGCCCGGAUUAAAAACCGGGUCGGGCCGGGCUGACCUUUGGCCCGAUGUGGCCCGGAAAAUGUGGGCCGUGCCAGCCCUGCACGGCCCACAUUACAUCCCUAGAUCUACUCCUUUGACUAUUUUCACCCCUUAGAUCAUAUUAAUCAACUAAUCACCCACUCAAUCAUAGGAGACCGCUAUUAACUAACCGGGGACCGCUAUCAUCCUAACCGCACAUUUUUUCAUCCAACGGUCGAAAACUUAUGAGUACAAAAAGAUGUAUACUCAUAAGAGUAUAAUAACCCUAGCCUAUAUAUAUAUAUAGAGAGAGAGAGAGAGAGAGAGAGAGAGAGAGGCUGGGUGAGUAAUCUGAGUUUAAUUAAAAUUGGGCCAAUAUUGCUGGCCCAUAAAAACAAAUCCAAUAGGCAAACAAAAUAAAAAAAUUUUACUAAAUUUGCACUCUCCCUCUUUUUCUUUCAAAGAGCUCUAAAUCUCCAAUCUCUUCUCUCUCUUUCUUUCUCUAUCUCUCACCCUAAGCGGCCAAGCCUAAAGCCUUUCUAAAUUACCAAGUAACAACAUGCGCCCGUUGUUAUCUACGUUAUCAUUAGUUGUGUACUUGAUAAAAUAUACGGAAUAUUUUUAAGAUAAAAAAUUAUUAUUUAUACAAAAUUUUGAUAUUAGUUAUAUAUGAUUAAAUAGUUUAUUCCAGUAUUUAUCUAUAUAAUUUAUUUAUUUUUUUACCGCAUAAAUGAAAAGAAAUAAUAUGAAGAUUGAAGGCGGAUGAGAGGACAUGCGAGACUGAAAUGAUUAGAUAUUCAACUCAUAACUCAUAAGUUAUUUUUUUCAUAUUAUAAUACCGUAUUUCAUAUAAUUAUUUCGUAUUUUGAUCUGUUAAAUAUAUUUUUAUAUCAAAUUGUAAAUAAUGUUCUAUACAAAUUAAACUAUUAAUUGUACGAUGUUGAGAAUUUCAAGCGGCUCGUUUAGGACUUGAACUCGCUCGACUUGAAAUUUAGCUCGCUCAAGCUCAGCUCGAAUUAAUUUUCAGUCGAGUUCGAGCCUAAAAUUUAGGCUCGAAAUUAAUUUCAAGACGAAUUUGAGCUGAAAUAAGCUCGAGCUCGGCCCUAAUUUUAAGCUUAUAUUUUUGAAUUGUUGAUACAGGGGAAGGGAUUUGUCACUUUCAACCCAACACAUUAAGUAAAUAUAAAAGGUAGCCGCGUGGUAUACCUAAAGCAAUUUUAUAUGAGAUGUCUGUCAGACUGCCAGACUGCCAGACUUAAUGGCCUACCGCUAACAUUUUUCUAUGGCGAUAUUUUACGUUAGCAAGUUUAGCGUGUAUAAUAAAAAAACAAGAGGAACGCGAGUGCCAGCUAAUACCUAAUAAGAGAUAUUUUAGAGAUCAUUUGGUCAAAAUUUAGUUUUAAUUUAGGGUUAAUUUUAUACAGGUUCUCAUAAAUAUGAUAAAUUGCAGAUAUAUUUUUGUAAAGUUUAACUUUAAUAAGUUAUUCCUGCAAAAAUUCUAAUGUAUUUAAAUAUGUUCCUCUGGUCCUAAUGUAUUCAUGUAUAUUCCUCUAGUUAGAAUUCGUUACAGAACUGUUUAAUAUUUUUUUAACGGUAGGUUAGUGAAAUGAUAUUUUACCAUAACAAUUAAAUAUAUCCCUUCAAAAGCCCUAUCAAUUUUUGUCAUUUUCCUCUUUCUCU
RNAcentral lists this long non-coding RNA (8385 nucleotides) under Ananas comosus (pineapple). Its description in RNAcentral is "long non-coding RNA (ACOM_LNC044106)". Lineage: Eukaryota; Viridiplantae; Streptophyta; Magnoliopsida; Poales; Bromeliaceae. The record is from RNAcentral.